Molecule: non-coding RNA, 78 nt
Organism: Podarcis lilfordi (Lilford's wall lizard)
Lineage: Eukaryota; Metazoa; Chordata; Lepidosauria; Squamata; Lacertidae
Source: the annotation of a GenBank genome assembly
AUACCUGUAGCUCAGUGGCCAAGCAAUUGCUUUGCAUGUAGAAGGUCCCACGUUCGAUUCCUGGCAUCUCCAGGUAGG